AUGCAAGUCGAACGGUAACAGCAGUGCUUGCACUGGCUGACGAGUGGCGAACGGGUGAGUAAUGUAUAGUUAAUUUGCCUCUUGGAGAGGGAUAGCCAUUGGAAACGAUGAUUAAUACCUCAUACUCCUUACAUAGUAAAUAUGUAAGGGAAAUGCUUUUGUGCCAAGAGAUAAGACUAUAUCCUAUCAGCUAGUUGGUGGUGUAACGGACCACCAAGGCGAUGACGGGUAGCUGGUUUGAGAGGAUGAUCAGCCACACUGGAACUGAGACACGGUCCAGACUCCUACGGGAGGCAGCAGUGGGGAAUAUUGCACAAUGGAGGAAACUCUGAUGCAGCAACGCCGCGUGGAGGAUGACGCAUUUCGGUGUGUAAACUCCUUUUAUAUAGGAAGAUAAUGACGGUACUAUAUGAAUAAGCACCGGCUAACUCCGUGCCAGCAGCCGCGGUAAUACGGAGGGUGCAAGCGUUACUCGGAAUCACUGGGCGUAAAGCGCAUGCAGGCGGUCCAAUAAGUUAGAAGUGAAAUCCUAUGGCUCAACCAUAGAACUGCCUCUAAAACUAUUAGACUAGAGUCUGGGAGGGGAAGAUGGAAUUAGUAGUGUAGGGGUAAAAUCCGUAGAGAUUACUAGGAAUACCAAAAGCGAAGGCGAUCUUCUGGAACAGUACUGACGCUGAGAUGCGAAAGCGUGGGGAGCAAACAGGAUUAGAUACCCUGGUAGUCCACGCAGUAAACGAUGAAUGUUAGUCGUUGGGUCUCUAGUAGAUUCAGUGAUGCAGUUAACACAUUAAACAUUCCGCCUGGGGGAGUACGGUCGCAAGAUUAAAACUCAAAGGAAUAGACGGGGACCCGCACAAGUGGUGGGAGCAUGUGGUUUAAUUCGAAGAUACGCGGAAGAACCUUACCUAGCCUUGACAUUGAGAGAAUCCCGACAGAGAUGUUGGAGUGCCUUUCGGGAGCUUGGAAAACAGGUGCUGCACGGGCUGUCGUCAGCUUCGUGGUCCGUGAGAUGGUUGGGUUAAGUCCCGCACCGAAGCGCAACCUUCG
Molecule: ribosomal RNA, 1047 nt
Filed under: epsilon proteobacterium ectosymbiont of Rimicaris exoculata
Lineage: Bacteria; Pseudomonadati; Campylobacterota
Description: bacterial SSU rRNA
Rfam family: Bacterial small subunit ribosomal RNA
Source: RNAcentral